AGCGAACGCUGGCGGCAUGCCUAACACAUGCAAGUCGAACGAACCUUUCGGGGUUAGUGGCGGACGGGUGAGUAACACGUGGGAACGUGCCUUUAGGUUCGGAAUAACUCAGGGAAACUUGUGCUAAUACCGAAUGUUCCCUUCGGGGGAAAGAUUUAUCGCCUUUAGAGCGGCCCGCGUUUGAUUAGCUAGUUGGUUGGGGUAAUGGCUCACCAAGGCGACGAUCAGUAGCUGGUCUGAGAGGAUGAUCAGCCACAUUGGGACUGAGACACGGCCCAAACUCCUACGGGAGGCAGCAGUGGGGAAUCUUGCGCAAUGGGCGAAAGCCUGACGCAGCCAUGCCGCGUGAAUGAUGAAGGUCUUAGGAUUGUAAAAUUCUUUCACCGGGGACGAUAAUGACGGUACCCGGAGAAGAAGCCCCGGCUAACUUCGUG
This 434-nucleotide ribosomal RNA is filed under the name uncultured bacterium. Its description in RNAcentral is "partial 16S ribosomal RNA". It matches the Rfam family "Bacterial small subunit ribosomal RNA", at positions 29 to 507 of the family's 1533-position model. The record is from RNAcentral.